Molecule: transfer RNA, 72 nt
Filed under: Nematostella vectensis (starlet sea anemone)
Lineage: Eukaryota; Metazoa; Cnidaria; Anthozoa; Actiniaria; Edwardsiidae
Rfam family: tRNA
About the family: Transfer RNA (tRNA) molecules are approximately 80 nucleotides in length. Their secondary structure includes four short double-helical elements and three loops (D, anti-codon, and T loops). Further hydrogen bonds mediate the characteristic L-shaped molecular structure. tRNAs have two regions of fundamental functional importance: the anti-codon, which is responsible for specific mRNA codon recognition, and the 3' end, to which the tRNAs corresponding amino acid is attached (by aminoacyl-tRNA synthetases). tRNAs cope with the degeneracy of the genetic code in two manners: having more than one tRNA (with a specific anti-codon) for a particular amino acid; and 'wobble' base-pairing, i.e. permitting non-standard base-pairing at the 3rd anti-codon position.
Source: Rfam by way of RNAcentral
AGAUGAGUGGCGCAGUGGAAGCGUGCUGGGCCCAUAACCCAGAGGGCCGAGGAUCGAAACCUUGCUCUGCUA